GCAAAGGCGGCUGCUACACAUGCAGUCGAGCGGCACCUUCGGGUGUAGCGGCGGACGGGUUAGUAACGCGUGGGAACGUGCCCUUCUCUACGGAAUAGCCUCGGGAAACUGAGAGUAAUACCGUAUACGCCCUUUGGGGGAAAGAUUUAUCGGAGAAGGAUCGGCCCGCGUCUGAUUAGAUAGUUGGUGGGGUAAUGGCCUACCAAGUCUACGAUCAGUAGCUGGUUUUAGAGGAUGAUCAGCAACACUGGGACUGAGACACGGCCCAGACUCCUACGGGAGGCAGCAGUGGGGAAUCUUAGACAAUGGGCGCAAGCCUGAUCUAGCCAUGCCGCGUGAGUGAUGAAGGCCUUAGGGUCGUAAAGCUCUUUCGCCAGAGAUGAUAAUGACAGUAUCUGGUAAAGAAACCCCGGCUAACUCCGUGCCAGCAGCCGCGGUAAUACGGAGGGGGUUAGCGUUGUUCGGAAUUACUGGGCGUAAAGCGCACGUAGGCGGAUCAGAAAGUUGGGGGUGAAAUCCCAGGGCUCAACCCUGGAACGGCCUCCAAAACUCCUGGUCUUGAGUUCGAGAGAGGUGAGUGGAAUUCCGAGUGUAGAGGUGAAAUUCGUAGAUAUUCGGAGGAACACCAGUGGCGAAGGCGGCUCACUGGCUCGAUACUGACGCUGAGGUGCGAAAGUGUGGGGAGCAAACAGGAUUAGAUACCCUGGUAG
This 710-nucleotide ribosomal RNA is filed under the name Seohaeicola sp. RNAcentral's name for it is "bacterial SSU rRNA". It matches the Rfam family "Bacterial small subunit ribosomal RNA", at positions 35 to 793 of the family's 1533-position model. Lineage: Bacteria; Pseudomonadati; Pseudomonadota; Alphaproteobacteria; Rhodobacterales; Roseobacteraceae. The record is from RNAcentral.